CUGACUGCAGAGGGGUGUGAU
This 21-nucleotide microRNA is filed under the name Schistosoma japonicum. RNAcentral's name for it is "miRNA-3048". The record is from RNAcentral. Lineage: Eukaryota; Metazoa; Platyhelminthes; Trematoda; Strigeidida; Schistosomatidae.